RNAcentral lists this ribosomal RNA (254 nucleotides) under uncultured bacterium. RNAcentral describes it as "partial 16S ribosomal RNA". It matches the Rfam family "Bacterial small subunit ribosomal RNA", at positions 524 to 776 of the family's 1533-position model. The record is from RNAcentral.
CACGUAGGGCGCAAGCGUUGUCCGGAAUUAUUGGGCGUAAAGAGCUCGUAGGUGGUUUGUUACGUCCGCUGUGAAAUCCUAGGGCUUAACCCUGGGCUUGCAGUGGAUACGGGCAGACUAGAGGUAGGUAGGGGAGAAUGGAAUUCCUGGUGUAGCGGUGAAAUGCGUAGAUAUCUGGAGGAAUACCGGUGGCGAAGGCGGCAUCCUGGACCGGCAUUGACGCUGAGUGAGCGAAAGCUAGGGGAGCAAACGGG